UAGUCUGACGGAGCACGCCGCGUGAGUGAUGACGGCCUUCGGGUUGUAAAGCUCUGUUAAUCGGGACGAAAGGCCUUCUUGCGAAUAGUGAGAAGGAUUGACGGUACCGGAAUAGAAAGCCACGGCUAACUACGUGCCAGCAGCCGCGGUAAUACGUAGGUGGCAAGCGUUGUCCGGAAUUAUUGGGCGUAAAGCGCGCGCAGGCGGAUAGGUCAGUCUGUCUUAAAAGUUCGGGGCUUAACCCCGUGAUGGGAUGGAAACUGCCAAUCUAGAGUAUCGGAGAGGAAAGUGGAAUUCCUAGUGUAGCGGUGAAAUGCGUAGAUAUUAGGAAGAACACCAGUGGCGAAGGCGACUUUCUGGACGAAAACUGACGCUGAGGCGCGAAAGCCAGGGGAGCGAACGGGAUUAGAUACCCCGGUAGUCCUGGCCGUAAACGAUGGGUACUAGGUGUAGGAGGUAUCGACCCCUUCUGUGCCGGAGUUAACGCAAUAAGUACCCCGCCUGGGGAGUACGACCGCAAGGUUGAAACUCAAAGAAUUUGACGGA
This 546-nucleotide ribosomal RNA is filed under the name uncultured bacterium. RNAcentral's name for it is "bacterial SSU rRNA". It matches the Rfam family "Bacterial small subunit ribosomal RNA", at positions 379 to 917 of the family's 1533-position model. The record is from RNAcentral.